UGGGAAUUUUGGACAAUGGGCGAAAGCCUGAUCCAGCAAUGCCGCGUGUGUGAAGAAGGCCUUCGGGUUGUAAAGCACUUUUGUCCGGAAGGAAAUCCUUGGCUCUAAUACAGUCGGGGGAUGACGGUACCGGAAGAAUAAGCACCGGCUAACUACGUGCCAGCAGCCGCGGUAAUACGUAGGGUGCAAGCGUUAAUCGGAAUUACUGGGCGUAAAGCGUGCGCAGGCGGUUUGCUAAGACCGAUGUGAAAUCCCCGGGCUCAACCUGGGAACUGCAUUGGUGACUGGCAGGCUAGAGUAUGGCAGAGGGGGGUAGAAUUCCACGUNUGAGCAGUGAAAUGCGUAGAGAUGUGGAGGAAUACCGAUGGCGAAGGCAGCCCCCUGGGCAAUACUGACGCUCAUGCACGAAAGCGUGGGGAGCAAACAGGAUUNGAUACCCUGGUAGUCCACGCCCUAAACGAUGUCACUAGUUGUUGGGGAUCAUUUCCUUAGUAACGUAGCUAACGCGUGAAGUUGACCGCCU
This 523-nucleotide ribosomal RNA is filed under the name uncultured bacterium. RNAcentral describes it as "partial 16S ribosomal RNA". It matches the Rfam family "Bacterial small subunit ribosomal RNA", at positions 356 to 874 of the family's 1533-position model. The record is from RNAcentral.